Protopterus annectens (West African lungfish) is the source of this 238-nucleotide long non-coding RNA. RefSeq lists it as uncharacterized. Lineage: Eukaryota; Metazoa; Chordata; Ceratodontiformes; Protopteridae. The record is from RefSeq and is a predicted model, not a curated record. The transcript is spliced from 2 exons.
GGUAUAUUGAAUAAUGACUGGACAUGACAUGGAUAACAUUGCAGGCCCAGACCUGAGCAAAGUGCAAACAACACUGCAACUGUCAGUCAGUUAAACAAGCAAACAAGCAAAAAGUGAUGAGGACGGGACCCAUGACCACUCCCUGCGCAUCGGAAAGAUGCACAGGCUGGAGGUGCAGUAGAGGGAGACAGGCUUACUUUAUCUUUUUUGUUAAAUAAAAUGUAUCUGAUACUUGUUA